ACAUAAUAGAUCUGAUGAGUGUGCAGGAAAUCUCUCUGCCUUGUCCUUUCCUAUGUUAUAAUUUUUAGAAUUUUAAUCUUUUUUCUUUUUCUUUUUUAGCAGAACAUUCUCAAAAAGAACAAUACAUGGCCACAGUGACAGAUUAUAAGAUGUAAUACACACACGUGGCCAGUAGAGGGAACCUGAUCAGUAGCGGAUGCUUCUCUACAUUCAACGAGGAAACAAAUCUUCCUCUGAUACUACUGACAUCAGUUGGGGGAGGCUACUCCUUCAUAUCCAAGCCCAUUCCUCCUCUAGGACAGAUUGACCAAUUUGAUUUCCCAAUUUCUCUAGAAAAUGAAAAUUUUCUUCUGGAUUUGUUCAGCCAGAGCAACAGAGCACUUACAUCCACUUUAAUUGUGCAAACUUAUAUGGCUGGCCACAUGACCCA
Non-coding RNA from Podarcis muralis (Common wall lizard), 430 nucleotides. Lineage: Eukaryota; Metazoa; Chordata; Lepidosauria; Squamata; Lacertidae. The record is from RefSeq and is a predicted model, not a curated record.